This 420-nucleotide ribosomal RNA is filed under the name Priestia megaterium. RNAcentral's name for it is "bacterial SSU rRNA". It matches the Rfam family "Bacterial small subunit ribosomal RNA", at positions 558 to 976 of the family's 1533-position model. Lineage: Bacteria; Bacillati; Bacillota; Bacilli; Caryophanales; Bacillaceae. The record is from RNAcentral.
GCGUAAGCGCGCGCAGGCGGUUUCUUAAGUCUGAUGUGAAAGCCCACGGCUCAACCGGGGAGGGGCAUUGGAAACUGGGGAACUUGAGUGCGGAAGAGAGAGGCGGAAUUCCACUGUGUAGCGGUGAAAUGCGUAGAGAUGUGGAGGAACACCAGUGGCGAAGGCGGCUUUUUGGUCUGUAACUGACGCUGAGGCGCGAAAGCGUGGGGAGCAAACAGGAUUAGAUACCCUGGUAGUCCACGCCGUAAACGAUGACUGCUAAGUGUUAGAAGGCUUCCGCCCUUUAGUGCUGCAGCUAACGCAUUAAGCUCUCCGCCUGGGGAGUACGGUCGCAAGACUGAAACUCAAUGGAAUUGACGGGGGCCCGCACAAGCGGGGGAGCUUGUGGUUUAUUUCAAACCACCGCGAAAAACCUUACCA